CCUACGGGUGGCAGCAGUGGGGAAUAUUGGGCAAUGGGCGCAAGCCUGACCCAGCAACGCCGCGUGAAGGAAGAAGGCUUUCGGGUUGUAAACUUCUUUUCUGCGGGACGAAGAAAGUGACGGUACCUCAGGAAUAAGCCACGGCUAACUACGUGCCAGCAGCCGCGGUAAUACGUAGGUGGCAAGAGUUAUCCGGAUUUAUUGGGUGUAAAGGGCGUGGAGGCGGGAAAGCAAGUCAGAUGUGAAAACUCAGGGCUCAACCCUGAGCGUGCAUUUGAAACUGUUUUUCUUGAGUGCUGGAGAGGCAUUCGGAAUGCCGUGGGUAGCGGUGAAAUGCGUAGAGAUACGGAGGAACACCGGUGGCGAAGGCGGAUUGCUGGACAGUAACUGACGCUGAGGCGCGAAAGCGUGGGGAGCAAACAGGAUUAGAUACCCGAGUAGUC
Molecule: ribosomal RNA, 443 nt
Filed under: uncultured bacterium
Lineage: Bacteria
Description: partial 16S ribosomal RNA
Rfam family: Bacterial small subunit ribosomal RNA
Source: RNAcentral